AGAAAACGUGUUCACAAGAUUCAACUUAAAAUGCGUAUAUUGUAUUAACAUUACACUCAACUUUAAGAUACUCAUAGGGUAAAACUUUACUUGAAUGAGCAGUUUGACGGAAAAAGAUUUAAUUUUCCUUCAUGGCUGAGGAGGAAAAGGAGGAAUCCGCCCGAGGAGGGGCUCGCGUCUGAUUAGCUAGUUGGUGAGGGAAUAGCUUACCAAGGUGAUGAUCAGUAGCUGGUCCGAGAGAAUGAUCAGUCACACUAGGACUGAGACACGACCCAGACUUCUACGGGAGGCAGCAGUGGGGAAUUUUCCGCAAUGGAUGAAACCCUGACGGAGCAAUGCCUUGUGAAAGUAGAAGGCCUACGGGUCAUGAACUUCUUUUCCCGAAGAAGAAGCAAUGACGGUAUCCGGAGAAUAAGCAUCGGCUAACUCUUUGUAUUAAGAAAUGACUU
RNAcentral lists this non-coding RNA (449 nucleotides) under Vigna radiata var. radiata (mung bean). RNAcentral's name for it is "Bacterial small subunit ribosomal RNA". It matches the Rfam family "Bacterial small subunit ribosomal RNA", at positions 141 to 524 of the family's 1533-position model. The record is from Rfam by way of RNAcentral. Lineage: Eukaryota; Viridiplantae; Streptophyta; Magnoliopsida; Fabales; Fabaceae.